This 408-nucleotide ribosomal RNA is filed under the name uncultured bacterium. RNAcentral describes it as "partial 16S ribosomal RNA". It matches the Rfam family "Bacterial small subunit ribosomal RNA", at positions 28 to 526 of the family's 1533-position model. The record is from RNAcentral.
GACGAACGCUGGCGGCGUGCUUAACACAUGCAAGUCGAACGAAGUGGCGAACGGGUGCGUACUACGUGAGUAACCUGCCCUCCUCUUUGGGAUAAGCCUUGGAAACGCGGUCUAAUACCGAAUAAAGGGGGAUGGGCUCGCGGCCUAUCAGCUUGUUGGUGGGGUGAUGGCCUACCAACGCGGUGACGGGUAGCCGGCCUGAGAGGGUGACCGGCCACAGUGAGACUGAGGUACGGACGAGGCUCAUGCGGGGGGCAGCAGUAGGGGAAAUUGCACGAUGGGCGAAAGCCUGGGGCAGCGACGCGGCGUGGGGGAUGAAGGGUUUCGGGUUGUAAACAUCUUUCGCUAGCGAACGGGUAGGUGGAGAAGAAGCGCCGGCUAACUACGUGCCAGCAGCCGCGGUAAUAC